AGUGAACGCUGGCGAUAGGCCUAACACAUGCAAGUCGAACGGCAGCACAGUAAGAGCUUGCUCUUACGGGUGGCGAGUGACGGACGGGUGAGGAAUACAUCGGAAUCUACUUUUUCGUGGGGGAUAACGUAGGGAAACUUACGCUAAUACCGCAUACGACCUACGGGUGAAAGCAGGGGAUCUUCGGACCUUGCGCGAUUGAAUGAGCCGAUGUCGGAUUAGCUAGUUGGCGGGGUAAAGGCCCACCAAGGCGACGAUCCGUAGCUGGUCUGAGAGGAUGAUCAGCCACACUGGAACUGAGACACGGUCCAGACUCCUACGGGAGGCAGCAGUGGGGAAUAUUGGACAAUGGGCGCAAGCCUGAUCCAGCCAUACCGCGUGGGUGAAGAAGGCCUUCGGGUUGUAAAGCCCUUUUGUUGGGAAAGAAAAGCAGCAGGUUAAUACCCCGCUGUUCUGACGGUACCCAAAGAAUAAGCACCGGCUAACUUCGUG
This 492-nucleotide ribosomal RNA is filed under the name uncultured bacterium. RNAcentral describes it as "partial 16S ribosomal RNA". It matches the Rfam family "Bacterial small subunit ribosomal RNA", at positions 29 to 507 of the family's 1533-position model. The record is from RNAcentral.